GGGUGGCCCAACGCUGUCCAUCUCCCCCGGAGCUCAGAGCCAGAGGAAAUGGGUGUGAUUGGAGCCCGAACUUACUCACAACGCUGAACUUCCUGCCUAAUUCCCUUGGCUAUUUGUGGACUUUUACUCUUCUUUAUAAGUUUUUAGAAUUAAUCUUUCCACUUGAAAAAUCAUCUUGAAUUCAAGUUCCGGGGAUCUAAGGCACGGCAGGUGUGGCUGAACGGAAUUGUUGAAAUGUAGUAAAGCUCUGAAUCUGAGGAAAAAGCAUGUUAUCUAGGGUUCUAACAAUAUUAAUAUUUGAGGUGACAUCAUUCAUCAUGCCUUCUAAAAUGCACCAAAUGAUUAGUUUCAAAAUGAAAUCAGCCUGUUGAAGUAUUCACCCAAGAGACUUUAAGAGAUGCUUCUCUCCCAGUAACGGAGGAGGUUAGUUCUCGGCACGAGGCACAAAGGCAUGAGGUCAUGAACCACUCUCUGAAAUCUCCUUUAUUUCACAGCUCCCAAGUGUUAGAGAGAAUUAAUUGCUCAACUGUAAAAACUGGGUCCCAGAGAAGUUUCAAAAACCAGCCAGAUGGGAGAGUUUUACAGUAUACGUGCUCUCAUACCCAGCAGCAAAACACCGGAGGAGAAAAAAAAAGCUUACGUUUCCAUUGUCGGCACAAUACCUAUAAUUUUCCUUUGUUCUUGAGGAUACAAACUGAGAGCGAUUAAGGGCGAAAACUAUAUACCUGAAUUUUCAUAAUGUCGGGCGCUAGGAUUGUCAUCAUUUGCUCAGAAAAAAAGAUUAUAACUGCUUGUCAUUUUUGUGCAGAAAAAAGGAAUAUAAUGAAUCUUUUGAGAAACACACGCUUAGACAGCUUGAGCGUGCUUUGUCUCACGGACGCACGAGUGUUUAGCAGAGUGAUUAGCUGGUCUAGGGAGCAAACGCCAUAUGCAUUGUUUUCUGCUUAAGACUUUUCCCCUUAUUUUUGUAUUCUUUGUUUUGAUUGCUUUUUAUUAUAUUUUUAAUCCUUUUUUUUUUGCAUUCAUAUUUUAAUAUCUGGAUCCAGACCAACUAUUUCGGUCAGCGAGGAAGCAUGAUAUAGUGGAACAUGGGAAGCUCAGUUCAAAGGACCGACAUUCACUUAGUGGGACUUUAGGCAACCAUCACUUCUCUCAGCCUCCAUUUAUUCAUCUGACUCAGGAGGGGUUUGGGUGACCUGUCCUGUCAAACUCAAAGAGUCUGGAUAUCUUCUUGGACUCUUGGCCUUUGGAGAUGAUUCUUGAAGUUUCUAUAAAUGAAAGUGGAAAUCAGCCACUUUUUUAAAACCGGUGAGAAGCUUAGGGAACACAGUAAUGACCAUGUUUCUGUAAUCCCUGCGGAACCCAGUCAGAAACUGCCAGGAUGGCAAGGCGUUUGCGUGAUAGCGAGGAGCAAAGUCCCAACUUCAUAUAUCUUUCCAAAGUCCACAUUUCUCCUUCCAGCAAUU
This 1466-nucleotide long non-coding RNA is filed under the name Equus caballus (horse). RNAcentral's name for it is "lncRNA (ENSECAG00000055162.1)". The record is from RNAcentral. Lineage: Eukaryota; Metazoa; Chordata; Mammalia; Perissodactyla; Equidae.